UAGCUACAGGCUUAACACAUGCAAGGUCGAGGGGCAGCAUGCUGAUAGCUUGCUAUCAGUGAUGGCGACCGGCGCAAGGGUGCGUAACGCGUGAGCAACGUUGCCCGUUUCUGGGGAAUAACCGGUGGAAACGCCGACUAAUACUCCAUGGUACAUUUGUGAGGCAUCUUACAGAUGUUAAAGAUUUAUCGGAAACGGAUAGGCUCGCGUGACAUUAGCUAGAUGGCGGGUAACGGCCCACCAUGGCGACGAUGUCUAGGGGUUCUGAGAGGAAGGUCCCCCACACUGGAACUGAGACACGGUCCAGACUCCUACGGGAGGCAGCAGUGAGGAAUAUUGGUCAAUGGUCGGAAGACUGAACCAGCCAAGUAGCGUGAAGGAUGAAGGUUCUAUGGAUUGUAAACUUCUUUUAUACGGGAAUAAAACCUCCCACGUGUGGGAGCUUGUAUGUACCGUAUGAAUAAGCAUCGGCUAACUCCGUG
RNAcentral lists this ribosomal RNA (482 nucleotides) under uncultured bacterium. RNAcentral describes it as "bacterial SSU rRNA". It matches the Rfam family "Bacterial small subunit ribosomal RNA", at positions 37 to 507 of the family's 1533-position model. The record is from RNAcentral.